This 429-nucleotide ribosomal RNA is filed under the name Gemmatimonadota bacterium. RNAcentral's name for it is "Gemmatimonadetes bacterium partial 16S ribosomal RNA". It matches the Rfam family "Bacterial small subunit ribosomal RNA", at positions 355 to 776 of the family's 1533-position model. The record is from RNAcentral. Lineage: Bacteria; Pseudomonadati; Gemmatimonadota.
UAGGGAAUCUUCGGCAAUGGACGAAAGUCUGACCGAGCAACGCCGCGUGAGUGAAGAAGGUUUUCGGAUCGUAAAACUCUGUUGUUAGAGAAGAACAAUGACGUUAGUAACUGAACGUCCCCUGACGGUAUCUAACCAGAAAGCCACGGCUAACUACGUGCCAGCAGCCGCGGUAAUACGUAGGUGGCAAGCGUUGUCCGGAUUUAUUGGGCGUAAAGCGAGCGCAGGCGGUUUCUUAAGUCUGAUGUGAAAGCCCCCGGCUCAACCGGGGAGGGUCAUUGGAAACUGGGAGACUUGAGUGCAGAAGAGGAGAGUGGAAUUCCAUGUGUAGCGGUGAAAUGCGUAGAUAUAUGUAGGAACACCAGUGGCGAAGGCGGCUCUCUGGUCUGUAACUGACGCUGAGGCUCGAAAGCGUGGGGAGCAAACAGG